CAUUUGUAAAUGUUUACUACCUAAAGCAUAAGCUGUUAAAAGAGGUUGAUAUGGUAAGGGUGCCUCUUAAAGAAGAAGAAAUUUUUACCUUGUUUAAUUCAAGUGACACCAACCUACAGGAACAAAAGAUUUGCAGGUGUUUCUGCAACUGCGAUGAUCUGGAGCCACUGCCCAGAGUGAGAAAUACAUUUUCUUUCCUAUAUUUUUCUCCAUACUUUAUAAAGGAGUACACCAGUCAUUUCUUUAAAAAAUCAAAGCCUCUAAGAGAUUUUGACUUUUAGAUGGACCCCGGAGAAUUCAGAAAUUAAGACACAAGUUUCCUCUCAUCUUGGAGGCUUGACUGAAGGAAAAAAAAAAAAAGGGCACAAAAUUCUCCCUUGAGGUUCAGGUUUUCACAUGAAAGUAGGUAGGAAGUAGAUCAUUCUGACUUCCACCAGAUGACCAGUGACCAGAGUGCAUGUUGCCUGUUGAGACUGUAAUUCUGUAAUUGUACCUAUUUCCCUGGCUUUUAGCUGCCUAGCUUUAGAUUUCUGAAAAUAAGUGACUUAGAGAUUGUUUCCUGAUUCCAACUAGGGCAGGGUCAAGGUCACUGGGCUUCUCAAGGAUCUGCCAAGGUCUCCUGAUGUCUCCCUGUGGCCAAGAAAAUGAUGAUGGGAGAUAGGGGGAAAGGAGCGGGGAGGACGACAGGCUCCUAUUUCAGAUGGGAAUUUUACAGCAUCUGAAGUUUAUUUUCGCUGAUGAGAAUUACAAAGUGCUCAUUAUUUCCAACCCGGACUUGGUCUAAGUAGUCUCUUCCCCCAGAGCAGGAUUGCUCACCUCUAGCUUUUGGGUCUUUCAGUGGUCACCUCGUCUAUAGUGCAUGCUCUGGAGGGGCAGCUCUCUCUACACACAGGGAUUUACACCCUCCCCCGCAACACAUAGACACAAAUGCCUCCACACGCCACGCAUGUGCUUACAAAACUCUGAGCAUCCACUCUUGUUCUGACACACUCUAAUGGAGCAUAGGUUCUACUGAGCUCCUGGAAAAUACCAACUUCCCAGGCAAGAGGUCAGAAUUAACAUUACACCUAAUUUUUGUUUCAUAGACACACUGUGCUGAGUAUUGUAGAGACAGCAUUUACAGGACGUUAGCAAAUACACUUUAGAAUAGAACAGGAUCAUCCAGUAUUUAUUCAGUUCCUACUAUGUGCCCAAAAGUAUGAUAGUAUGAAAAAGGAGGUUUUCUUCACUAUGGUUAAAAAAAAAAA
Long non-coding RNA from Sapajus apella (tufted capuchin), 1247 nucleotides. RefSeq lists it as uncharacterized. Lineage: Eukaryota; Metazoa; Chordata; Mammalia; Primates; Cebidae. The record is from RefSeq and is a predicted model, not a curated record. The transcript is spliced from 2 exons.